AUCAAAAUAAUUAAAUUAUAACUUUAAUUUCCAAAAUUAAUAUUUUCAUUAAACUAUAUUUUG
Molecule: transfer RNA, 63 nt
Filed under: Mengenilla australiensis
Lineage: Eukaryota; Metazoa; Arthropoda; Insecta; Strepsiptera; Mengenillidae
Description: tRNA-Pro
Source: RNAcentral